Molecule: ribosomal RNA, 253 nt
Filed under: uncultured bacterium
Lineage: Bacteria
Description: partial 16S ribosomal RNA
Rfam family: Bacterial small subunit ribosomal RNA
Source: RNAcentral
UACGUAGGGGGCAAGCGUUGUCCGGAUUUAUUGGGCGUAAAGAGCGUGUAGGCGGCCAUUCAGGUCAGCUGUGAAAACUCGAGGCUCAACCUCGAGACGUCGGUUGAAACCGUAUGGCUAGAGUCCGGAAGAGGAGAGUGGAAUUCCCGGUGUAGCGGUGAAAUGCGCAGAUAUCGGGAAGAACACCCGUGGCGAAGGCGGCUCUCUGGGACGGUACUGACGCUGAGACGCGAAAGCGUGGGGAGCGAACAGG